GACACGACUCUUGGCAAUGGAUAUCUCGGCUCUUGCAUCGAUGAAGAGCGCAGCGAAAUGCGAUACGUGGUGCGAAUUGCAGAAUCCCGCGAAC
Molecule: ribosomal RNA, 94 nt
Filed under: Oncidium praestanoides
Lineage: Eukaryota; Viridiplantae; Streptophyta; Magnoliopsida; Asparagales; Orchidaceae
Description: 5.8S ribosomal RNA
Rfam family: 5.8S ribosomal RNA
About the family: 5.8S ribosomal RNA (5.8S rRNA) is a component of the large subunit of the eukaryotic ribosome.
Source: RNAcentral